GUGAAAUCGCUGAGUAAGAAGAGUCCGCAUGAUGGAGACGUUCCAGAGAGCUGGGAUAGGCGGGGGCCCAGUGCGGUGCCAGAUGCGGAAUGGGCUUACGAGAGGUUUGCUGAACAGAGAUAAGUAGGCAACCCGGGUUCCGCCGUUACAAGGAUAAGGUAUAGAUUUGUACCUCAAUAAAGCGGAAUGUUUUUUACAUCCAAAUGAGGUGGUACCGCGGUAAAUUUAUCGCCCUCUAC
RNAcentral lists this non-coding RNA (239 nucleotides) under Bacillus cereus. RNAcentral's name for it is "T-box sequence". It matches the Rfam family "T-box leader". From Rfam's summary of the family: Uncharged tRNA acts as the effector for transcription antitermination of genes in the T-box leader family. T-boxes are found upstream of many aminoacyl-tRNA synthetase genes and some amino acid biosynthetic genes usually in Gram-positive bacteria. The record is from RNAcentral. Lineage: Bacteria; Bacillati; Bacillota; Bacilli; Caryophanales; Bacillaceae.